RNAcentral lists this ribosomal RNA (505 nucleotides) under uncultured bacterium. RNAcentral's name for it is "partial 16S ribosomal RNA". It matches the Rfam family "Bacterial small subunit ribosomal RNA", at positions 28 to 507 of the family's 1533-position model. The record is from RNAcentral.
GACGAACGCUGGCGGCGUGCCUAAUACAUGCAAGUGGGACGCAAGGAAACACACUGUGCUUGCACACCGUGUUUUCUUGAGUCGCGAACGGGUGAGUAACGCGUAGGUAACCUGCCUAUUAGCGGGGGAUAACUAUUGGAAACGAUAGCUAAUACCGCAUAAUAUUAAUUAUUGCAUGAUAAUUGAUUGAAAGAUGCAAGCGCAUCACUAGUAGAUGGACCUGCGUUGUAUUAGCUAGUUGGUAAGGUAAGAGCUUACCAAGGCGACGAUACAUAGCCGACCUGAGAGGGUGAUCGGCCACACUGGGACUGAGACACGGCCCAGACUCCUACGGGAGGCAGCAGUAGGGAAUCUUCGGCAAUGGACGAAAGUCUGACCGAGCAACGCCGCGUGAGUGAAGAAGGUUGUCGGAUCGUAAAGCUCUGUUGUAAGUCAAGAACGUGUGUGAGAGUGGAAAGUUCACACAGUGACGGUAGCUAACCAGAAAGGGACGGCUAACUACGUG